This 526-nucleotide ribosomal RNA is filed under the name uncultured bacterium. RNAcentral's name for it is "bacterial SSU rRNA". It matches the Rfam family "Bacterial small subunit ribosomal RNA", at positions 355 to 895 of the family's 1533-position model. The record is from RNAcentral.
CGAGGAAUCUUCGACAAUGGGCGCAAGCCCGAUCGAGCAACGCCGCGUGGAGGACGACGGCCUUCGGGUUGUAAACUCCUUUCGGGGGGAGUGAUUGGGACAGUACCCCCAGAAGCAGCCCCGGCUAACUCUGUGCCAGCAGCCGCGGUAAGACAGAGGGGGCAAGCGUUGUCCGGACUUACUGGGCGUACAGCGCGCGCAGGCGGCCUGGAAGGUGCCGGGUGACAGACAAGGGCUUAACCCUUGGCGGUCCCGGUAGACCGGCGGGCUGGAGGCUGGGAGAGGGAUGUGGAAUACCCGGUGGAGCGGUGAAAUGCGUAGAGAUCGGGUGGAACACCAGGGGCGAAGGCGGCAUCCUGGCCCAGACCUGACGCUGAGGCGCGAGAGCGUGGGGAGCGAACCGGAUUAGAUACCCGGGUAGUCCACGCCGUAAACGAUGUGAACCCGGUGCUGGGCGGUGAUUGCGCCGCUCGGUGCCCCAGCUUACGCGAUGAGUUCACCGCCUGGGGACUACGGCCGCAAGGCU